CCCUUAGAUGUUCUGGGCCGCACGCGCGCUACAAUGAUUGUCUCAGCAUGUUUUGGGUGUGUAAAUACCCAGGAAUCCCGAGUAACAAUCGUGAUGGGGCUAGACCCUUGCAAUUUUUGGUCUCCAACGAGGAAUUCCUAGUAAAGGCAGGUCAUUAACCUGCCUUGAUUACGUCCCUGCCCUUUGUACACACCGCCCGUCGCUCCUACCGAUCGAAGAGUUAGGUGAAUUGUUUUGAUCGAUAAGAUUUGACUAUGGUCAACUCUCGUUGUGAAAUUCUGUGAAUCUGACUGUUUAGAGGAAGGAAAAGUCGUAACA
This 318-nucleotide ribosomal RNA is filed under the name uncultured eukaryote. Its description in RNAcentral is "partial 18S ribosomal RNA". It matches the Rfam family "Eukaryotic small subunit ribosomal RNA", at positions 1470 to 1796 of the family's 1831-position model. The record is from RNAcentral.